CCUACGGGGGGCAGCAAUGGGGAAUAUUGGACAAUGGGGGCAACCCUGAUCCAGCCAUGCCGCGUGUGUGAAGAAGGCCCUCGGGUUGUAAAGCACUUUCAGUGAGGAAGAACGCCUGGUGGUUAAUACCCAUCAGGAAAGACAUCACUCACAGAAGAAGCACCGGCUAACUCCGUGCCAGCAGCCGCGGUAAUACGGAGGGUGCGAGCGUUAAUCGGAAUUACUGGGCGUAAAGCGCGCGUAGGUGGCUUGAUAAGCCGGUUGUGAAAGCCCCGGGCUCAACCUGGGAACGGCAUCCGGAACUGUCAAGCUAGAGUGCAGGAGAGGAAGGUAGAAUUCCCGGUGUAGCGGUGAAAUGCGUAGAGAUCGGGAGGAAUACCAGUGGCGAAGGCGGCCUUCUGGACUGACACUGACACUGAGGUGCGAAAGCGUGGGUAGCAAACAGGAUUAGAUACCCUGGUAGUC
This 465-nucleotide ribosomal RNA is filed under the name Vreelandella stevensii. Its description in RNAcentral is "partial 16S ribosomal RNA". It matches the Rfam family "Bacterial small subunit ribosomal RNA", at positions 338 to 795 of the family's 1533-position model. The record is from RNAcentral. Lineage: Bacteria; Pseudomonadati; Pseudomonadota; Gammaproteobacteria; Oceanospirillales; Halomonadaceae.